UAGGUGAUCUUAGCUUCCCCUCGUUUGUAUGGUACAUGGCUAUAAAUCCUCCACGUCAAUUGCCUUGCAACACAUACUUUGGCUUUGACUUUUCUACAACCUUAUUCUUCUCAGCAUAUCUGAUAUCACACCACUUUAGCCUCAACUUUGGCCCUUUUCAUUUUUCUUCUUUUGUUUUUUUUUUUUUUUGUUUUUGCUUCGUUGGCUUCUCUCUCACACAGUUUUGCGAUCUUCUUUCUUAAUUUCUUUUCUUUUCUUCCAACGCUACAUCGGUCUUUUGGAAAUGGAAGGGAGAAUUCCUCAUGGAUGUAGAGAAUACAUAAAACUCUUCUGCGUGGAGGUAGGGGAAGCAGAGAUUUUUUUUUUUUUUUACUUUGGAGAUGGGCACGCUGCUUAUGGUGAUGCAGGUUGUGGGAGCAGAUCUGGUGGAAAAUACCAAAUAACACGCCUCUUCGCUUUGCUCCCUCCCAGUAGCUUUUUAUUUCUCUCUUUCUUCACUUGCUUCGCCCUUCAAACUUCAUUGAUCCUGUAGCCUUCCCUUAGGUGUAUCAAGGAAACAUUUUGGACUUAAUUUCUUAAGACCCCACCAAAUCUUCGUCUGCUUUUCUAGAUCGGCCAAGGCUCCAAUUUUUAUUUUUUUUUUAAAUUGCAAGCUUCAUCGGAUCUUCUUGUUCUUUCUCCAAAAUUUCACCUUUAAUCCUUCACCACCCAUGUUGCUAAAUUUCAAGAAGGGUAGUGUUGGUGAGAUAGUGAUGUCGGCAAAAGAGAAGAGUUUUUCGUUGGUGAGCUACAGAGGGGUUCCGUUGGCAAAGGGUUGAAGAUGCUCGAAAUUGUCCGCCAUACAUGGGGAUGAGAUUUAGGCAGGACAAAGUCUCAUAGCGCUUACAGCCGUGGGACCUGUCGGUAUUGAUGUUGGUGGAGCAGUGUUCAUGACGAAGAGAAGCAAUGCCUUGUUUGAAGGAAAUUGAUGUCGAAUGCGACGAUAAGGUGUUCUUUGCACAAGCUCGAUAAAGUCAGAUGCGUCGCUCACCUUGGUGAGUUAAUAUUUUUUUUUUUGCCGAUCUCUCGGAUGUAUUUGGCGACAUGUUGAAUGAAGCGUCGUUGAUUGUGUAGGUUGGCUCUUCCUUAGGAGAUCAUAGAAAUACCGCGAUGUACUGACCCAUAAGGUUGAGCCAUUGUAAUUGAAUUUGAAGACUCCUUAUUGAUUCCAAUAGUCGCAAGACAGGGAAAUCAGUUCGUAGCGCGACCGUGCCUGAUAUUGAGUUGGCAUUGGUGUUGGGAGUAGAAGUAGCGUACUUGACUAUAAAUUUGACUUGGGUCCAUAAGAAAAGAUGAUGAUGAAUGAAAGGCUAUCUUGAAACUCUAUGCAAAUUGUACCACAUUAAGGAUGCUUCAAUUUUCUUGAGUUGCUUGAUUGUUGGUUAAUUUGAUGAGAUUACGUUUGCCAAGAUUUGUUUCGAUGAAGCUGUAACCAUGAGCGAUAAGUGGUAUUGCUAGCCGUAUAGCGCAUUUGAGAUGGAAUGGAGCAAAAAUAUCACUUGGCAAUGUAGUAUAAGGAUGUAACAUAGCUGUUGUAUGUGCUGGCACUGGCAGCCCCCAAUAUUGUGUUAUCGUGGUGAAUGCUAAUAAAAUGCAGAGUCACAAGUUGUUGUUGCUUCAUGUUUGUUGUGAUGAAGAGGAGAGUGUUGGCGAAACCAUUAUUAAUGAUUCCAUAGAACGUCUAUUAUUUGAUCGUGGUAUUGCCCAUUUAUAACAGCCCUCACGUCUUGGGCCUUGAUAGGACCAGAUUGACCAUGAUAGCAUGAGAGGUCGCCUUGUAAAAUAGCUGUUGUGUACGCUAAAAUGAUGAAUGGCGUAACUUGUGAGCAAGUAGGAGAUUCCCCUUUGUUGCGUGGCUAUAAAAAAUGUCCAAUGAAACGUCGUUGUGUCGAGAUGCUUUCGCUUGUGGUAAUGUCGCAGCUCCAUUUGUUUGAGAAUGAAGCCGCGGAUUUCUUUGACAACAUAAAAUCUAUUGUGAGAAGUCAAAACUCAUUGCCAACCCCUUUUCAUGCCAAUAGGGAUUAUUGAGUGCGCCGCAUUGCCGUCUUGCAUAGAAUAAGUAUAUUUUGGGAGAUACACCAUUGUUGAGUGGGAACUUUGUAACUCACUUGGGUGACUUUGGCUUAGAGAAUUGUGGUGCUGUCGUUAGGACUUUCAUCCACAAGGCCAAUCUCAUUACCAAUGCAUCAUUUUCCGAGGUUGAAGCUACUGCAAACAGCAACAUAAAGCUGCCACGGCCGCUAUUAGUAACUUUGAACCCUUUUUGGUCCGUUUCUCACUUGCGGCUUCAAAGUAAAGAAGAGAGCGACUGCAAGGCAAUGUCUCAAAGAUGGUGAUGUUGGAUAGGGACUACGACAUUGCUUCAACUUUUUCCUUCAGCUCCUUUCUUGCUUUCCCUUUUUUUUUUUUUUUUUUGAUUGUCUUGUUUUGAGCCCCAAGCUUUGAAAUUUCGAACUAGUUGAAAUGUGUAAUAUGGCUUGCUGCCUUAGAAACAUUUUCUAUUGUAUUUCACCCUUGUGGACAGCACACUUUUGUAUAGAGCAGCUCCUGUCUAAUUAUAUUGGUGCUACUUUGAGUUUGUACUGUCAUGGUUAGUAGGCACAAUUUGUAUUUUGUACAAAGAAACACAUAUACGAUGUCUCAACAUGUAAUUUGAAUUUUGGAAUGAAAACAAUGAUUUGUAUCUCAAGGAUAUGAAUAGUUUGUAUUUUGUACCUUGAGAACGAGUUU
Quercus robur (English oak) is the source of this 2769-nucleotide long non-coding RNA. RefSeq lists it as uncharacterized. The transcript is spliced from 2 exons. NCBI's taxonomy places the organism in Eukaryota, Viridiplantae, Streptophyta, Magnoliopsida, Fagales, Fagaceae. The record is from RefSeq and is a predicted model, not a curated record.